This 497-nucleotide ribosomal RNA is filed under the name uncultured bacterium. Its description in RNAcentral is "partial 16S ribosomal RNA". It matches the Rfam family "Bacterial small subunit ribosomal RNA", at positions 28 to 507 of the family's 1533-position model. The record is from RNAcentral.
GAUGAACGCUGGCGGCGUGCCUAAUACAUGCAAGUCUAGCGAACAGACGAGGAGCUUGCUCCUCUGACGUUAGCGGCGGACGGGUGAGUAACACGUGGAUAACCUACCUAUAAGACCGGGAUAACUUCGGGAAACCGGAGCUAAUACCGGAUAAUAUAUUGAACCGCAUGGUUCAAUAGUGAAAGACGGUUUUGCUGUCACUUAUAGAUGGAUCCGCGCCGCAUUAGCUAGUUGGUAAGGUAACGGCUUACCAAGGCAACGAUGCGUAGCCGACCUGAGAGGGUGAUCGGCCACACUGGAACUGAGACACGGUCCAGACUCCUACGGGAGGCAGCAGUAGGGAAUCUUCCGCAAUGGGCGAAAGCCUGACGGAGCAACGCCGCGUGAGUGAUGAAGGUCUUCGGAUCGUAAAACUCUGUUAUUAGGGAAGAACAAAUGUGUAAGUAACUAUGCACGUCUUGACGGUACCUAAUCAGAAAGCCACGGCUAACUACGUG